This 199-nucleotide ribosomal RNA is filed under the name uncultured bacterium. RNAcentral describes it as "partial 16S ribosomal RNA". It matches the Rfam family "Bacterial small subunit ribosomal RNA", at positions 328 to 539 of the family's 1533-position model. The record is from RNAcentral.
ACGCUCGACACCUACGGGAGGCAGCAGUGGGGAAUAUUGCACAAUGGGGGAAACCCUGAUGCAGCGACGCCGCGUGGAGGAAGAAGGUCUUCGGAUUGUAAACUCCUGUUGUUUGGGGAAAAAAGAGGAUGGUACCCAACAAGGAAGUGACGGCUAACUACGUGCCACAGCCGCGGUAAUCUGAGCGGGCUGGCAAGGC